RNAcentral lists this ribosomal RNA (693 nucleotides) under Pantoea allii. RNAcentral's name for it is "partial 23S ribosomal RNA". It matches the Rfam family "Bacterial large subunit ribosomal RNA", at positions 2238 to 2925 of the family's 2925-position model. Lineage: Bacteria; Pseudomonadati; Pseudomonadota; Gammaproteobacteria; Enterobacterales; Erwiniaceae. The record is from RNAcentral.
AUCCGGGCUGCGGACAGUGUCUGGUGGGUAGUUUGACUGGGGCGGUCUCCUCCUAAAGAGUAACGGAGGAGCACGAAGGUUGGCUAAUCCUGGUCGGACAUCAGGAGGUUAGUGCAAUGGCAUAAGCCAGCUUGACUGCGAGAGUGACGGCUCGAGCAGGUGCGAAAGCAGGUCAUAGUGAUCCGGUGGUUCUGAAUGGAAGGGCCAUCGCUCAACGGAUAAAAGGUACUCCGGGGAUAACAGGCUGAUACCGCCCAAGAGUUCAUAUCGACGGCGGUGUUUGGCACCUCGAUGUCGGCUCAUCACAUCCUGGGGCUGAAGUAGGUCCCAAGGGUACGGCUGUUCGCCGUUUAAAGUGGUACGCGAGCUGGGUUUAGAACGUCGUGAGACAGUUCGGUCCCUAUCUGCCGUGGGCGCUGGAGAAUUGAGGGGGGUUGCUCCUAGUACGAGAGGACCGGAGUGAACGCACCGCUGGUGUCCGGGUUGUCACGCCAGUGGCACUGCCCGGUAGCUAAGUGCGGAAAAGAUAAGUGCUGAAAGCAUCUAAGCACGAAACUUGCCCCGAGAUGAGUUCUCCCUGAGCCUUUAAGGCUCCUGAAGGGACGUUGAAGACGACGACGUUGAUAGGCCGGGUGUGUAAGCGCAGCGAUGCGUUGAGCUUACCGGUACUAAUGACCCGUGAGGCUUAACCUU